UCAUCGUCAUCGAAUGCCUGUGGUUGGCCU
Molecule: non-coding RNA, 30 nt
Filed under: Bombyx mori (domestic silkworm)
Lineage: Eukaryota; Metazoa; Arthropoda; Insecta; Lepidoptera; Bombycidae
Source: RNAcentral